GUGUGUGUGUGUGUGUAGUGUGUGUGUAGUGUGUGUGUGUGUAGUGUGUGUGUAGUGUGUGUGUAGUGUGUGUGUGUGUAGUGUGUGUGUGUAGUGUGUGUGUAGUGUGUGUGUAGUGUGUGUGUGUAGUGUGUGUGUGUGUAGUGUGUGUGUGUAGUGUGUGUGUGUGUGUAGUGUGUGUGUGUAGUGUGUGUGUGUGUGUGUGUGUGUAGUGUGUGUGUGUGUGUGUAGUGUGUGUAGUGUGUGUGUAGUGUGUGUGUAGUGUGUGUGUAGUGUGUGUGUAGUGUGUGUGUGUGUAGUGUGUGUAGUGUGUGUGUGUGUAGUGUGUGUGUGUGUAGUGUGUGUGUAGUGUGUGUGUGUAGUGUGUGUGUGUAGUGUGUGUAGUGUGUGUGUGUUGUGUGUGUAGUGUGUGUGUGUAGUGUGUGUAGUGUGUGUGUAGUGUGUGUAGUGUGUGUGUAGUGUGUGUGUAGUGUGUGUGUGUGUGUGUGUGUGUUGUGUUGGUCGUUAAGAUGAAAGCAAGGACAGCAUGGACCCAGAACAUUUGAACUGUAAAAAAACAAAAAAAACACUUUUAUUCUGAAGAACCCAAUAAAAUUAUGGCAAAUAUUUACAAAUAUUGACUUUGUUUCUUCACCGUACAGUACAUAAAUCCAAGAUUCACAAAACACACACACACACACACACACACUCUGUUGGUCAGGAGGACAGAUGCACAUAUUACAAUCUGGCUUAAAUCCCACCCUAUUCCCUUUGUAGUGCACUACUUUUCAAUAGAAGUACACUGUUAUAAAAAGAGAUUUUAGGGUGUUAUUUAGGACCCUUACCAUAGACUGAUUGUGUAACAAUAGAUGCACCCAGCGAACUGCAAGUCAACAUUUCACAAGAACAAAUCAACCCCAUAAGAACUAAAAUAAUAUUAUAAUCAUUAUUAUUAACAAUAACAACAGUUAUAUAUAUAUAUAUAUAAAAACAAAAAUAAGCAUAAUAUCAAAGUCACUUAUUUAUUUAUUUCCAGUUUUACAGAACAAAAAAAAAAAUGUUGAAAACCAAAAUUCAAAAAAAGAGAGAAAUUCAGUGACGUGAUAUCUUUGGCAAAUUGGCAGAAAAAAUACAUUCAAAUAUUAAGACGCCACGAGACAGAGACAGAGAGGAGAAAAACACAGCAAGAUUUAGUUUUUUGACACUAGAAAAUUUGAAUUAAAAAAAAAACAUACACAUUUUUCUUUUAAAGAAGUAUUUUUCAUUUUUUUUUCAUUUUGACAUUGUUUUAAAUCGUCCCCUUCCACAAUAUUGAAGGUUUUGAAUAUUUUCUGUUAUUUUUGUAUUUUAAUUCUUAUUUUUUGGAUGUAACAAGUUUUGACAUUUUCCUCACACUGAUACAAGUGUAUCUUUAGUUUAAAACAGGCUUUUAGACUCAGGCUUUGGUGAUGGCUACAGAUAUGUUUUCAUUCUCAGCUCUGGAGGUAAUUCUCUCCUUUCAUUUAGACAAACAAACAAACAAAAAAAAGAUUUUUAAAACCAAAUUUAGCAAUUUUUUUUUUUUUUAAACAUUUCAUCAUCUUUCUGUUGUCUUUAAAAUGUGAAAAGGUUAAAAACGUGUUGACAGGAAGUUGUGGAACCGAGGACUUCUAGUGGUUCUAGAAUGUCCCUUCUAGUGGUUCUAGAAUGUCCCUUCUAGUGGUUCUAGAAUGUCCCUUCUAGUGGUUCU
Molecule: long non-coding RNA, 1708 nt
Filed under: Salmo salar (Atlantic salmon)
Lineage: Eukaryota; Metazoa; Chordata; Actinopteri; Salmoniformes; Salmonidae
Description: lncRNA (ENSSSAG00000101267.1)
Source: RNAcentral